GGCCUGAGAGGGCGACCGGCCACACUGGGACUGAGACACGGCCCAGACUCCUACGGGAGGCAGCAGUGGGGAAUAUUGCACAAUGGGCGAAAGCCUGAUGCAGCGACGCCGCGUGAGGGAUGACGGCCUUCGGGUUGUAAACCUCUUUCAGCAGGGAAGAAGCGAAAGUGACGGUACCUGCAGAAGAAGCGCCGGCUAACUACGUGCCAGCAGCCGCGGUAAUACGUAGGGCGCAAGCGUUGUCCGGAAUUAUUGGGCGUAAAGAGCUCGUAGGCGGCUUGUCACGUCGGUUGUGAAAGCCCGGGGCUUAACCCCGGGUCUGCAGUCGAUACGGGCAGGCUAGAGUUCGGUAGGGGAGAUCGGAAUUCCUGGUGUAGCGGUGAAAUGCGCAGAUAUCAGGAGGAACACCGGUGGCGAAGGCGGAUCUCUGGGCCGAUACUGACGCUGAGGAGCGAAAGCGUGGGGAGCGAACAGGAUUAGAUACCCUGGUAGUCCACGCCGUAAACGGUGGGCACUAGGUGUGGGCAACAUUCCACGUUGUCCGUGCCGCAGCUAACGCAUUAAGUGC
Molecule: ribosomal RNA, 568 nt
Filed under: Streptomyces albus
Lineage: Bacteria; Bacillati; Actinomycetota; Actinomycetes; Kitasatosporales; Streptomycetaceae
Description: bacterial SSU rRNA
Rfam family: Bacterial small subunit ribosomal RNA
Source: RNAcentral